GUCCCCUAUGGGGUGACAUAUGAAAAAAUUGGAACGAUACAGAGAAGAUUAGCAUGGCCCCUGCACAAGGAUGACACGCUUUCCCGGAGUGGUGGACCUACGGGUCUCAAUAUUUAU
Molecule: small nuclear RNA, 117 nt
Filed under: Fibroporia radiculosa
Lineage: Eukaryota; Fungi; Basidiomycota; Agaricomycetes; Polyporales; Fibroporiaceae
Source: RNAcentral